GAUGAACGCGGCGGCGUGCCUAAUACAUGCAAGUAGAACGCUGAAGCUUGGUGCUUGCACCGAGCGGUGAGUUGCGAACGGGUGAGUAACGCGUAGGUAACCUGCCUCUUAGCGGGGGAUAACUAUUGGAAACGCUAGCUAAUACCGCAUAAAAGUCGAUAUCGCAUGAUGUUGAUUUGAAAGGUGCAAUUGCAUCACUAAGAGAUGGACCUGCGUUGUAUUAGCUAGUUGGUGAGGUAACGGCUCACCAAGGCGACGAUACAUAGCCGACCUGAGAGGGUGAUCGGCCACACUGGGACUGAGACACGGCCCAGACUCCUACGGGAGGCAGCAGUAGGGAAUCUUCGGCAAUGGGGGCAACCCUGACCGAGCAACGCCGCGUGAGUGAAGAAGGUUUUCGGAUCGUAAAGCUCUGUUGUAAGAGAAGAACGAGUGUGAGAGUGGAAAGUUCACACUGUGACG
This 462-nucleotide ribosomal RNA is filed under the name Streptococcus parasanguinis. Its description in RNAcentral is "bacterial SSU rRNA". It matches the Rfam family "Bacterial small subunit ribosomal RNA", at positions 28 to 474 of the family's 1533-position model. The record is from RNAcentral. Lineage: Bacteria; Bacillati; Bacillota; Bacilli; Lactobacillales; Streptococcaceae.